Long non-coding RNA from Labeo rohita (rohu), 691 nucleotides. RefSeq lists it as uncharacterized. NCBI's taxonomy places the organism in Eukaryota, Metazoa, Chordata, Actinopteri, Cypriniformes, Cyprinidae. The record is from RefSeq and is a predicted model, not a curated record. The transcript has 4 exons.
CUGUUUUACAAGCGUAGACUCUUUUUGUCGUUUAACUCUUCGUGAAUUCCUCAACUCAAGUAGCCUAGACAGGUGCAGGUGUUUGAGGAGCAUAACUGUCGAUUAUUCCAAACUAAUGACAAUAUGAUUAGCUUACUGGAAAGGCUACUAGAAAUCCCUACUAGAAAAUGCAACUGGUCUUUGACCAGAAACAAUCCAACCAAUGUCAAACUGCUUUUUGUAACAUAGCAUCUGGUCAGCCAGCUAAUGCCAACCUUGCACCAUGUUCAAACAUCGCUAGCAUCUUGGAGUCUCCAACAGCGUGAGAUCGGAUAAACAGACGAGAAAGAUACGGCAUGCCCAUAUGAUCUAAUCUAAUCUGAUUCUAAAUCAAGAAGCUUCACUACUUCCUUAGACAAAGCGGCAGUCCUCAUUUCCAGACUUUGAUCCAUCUGGUGUGGAGGGGGAAAGAGAGGUGAAGUGCCCUUUGACCUUUUGAAGGAGAAGGGAGCAGUUCCAUAUCUCAUGCUCCACAGCCGAGCCUGUUUGAUCUGGACUCACCUCAGUUCACACGUCUCAGCUUCUGGCCCCAACCCGCAAAAGGAGGAAUGUGUAGAGCUGGUAGAGAAUAAUUGUUUUGUUGGGCAUGAAGACAUACUAGACUUGAAAACAUACCUGAGACGAGUGAGGUCACCAGGAAUACUAUGACAUG